UACAGAGGUCCCAAGCGUUGUUCGGAUUCAUUGGGCGUAAAGGGUGCGUAGGCGGCGCGGUAAGUCGGGUGUGAAAUUUCGGAGCUUAACUCCGAAACUGCAUUCGAUACUGCGGUGCUUGAGGACUGGAGAGGAGACUGGAAUUCAUGGUGUAGCAGUGAAAUGCGUAGAGAUCAUGAGGAAGACCAGUGGCGAAGGCGGGUCUCUGGACAGUUCCUGACACUGAGACACGAAGGCCAGGGGAGCAAACGGG
RNAcentral lists this ribosomal RNA (253 nucleotides) under uncultured bacterium. RNAcentral's name for it is "partial 16S ribosomal RNA". It matches the Rfam family "Bacterial small subunit ribosomal RNA", at positions 524 to 776 of the family's 1533-position model. The record is from RNAcentral.